This 1396-nucleotide ribosomal RNA is filed under the name metagenome. RNAcentral's name for it is "bacterial LSU rRNA". It matches the Rfam family "Bacterial large subunit ribosomal RNA", at positions 1501 to 2925 of the family's 2925-position model. The record is from RNAcentral.
AAAUAGAACGUUAAAGGGUGUAGUUAUAUCUGCGGUAGGCAAAUCCGCUGUGGAUGAUGAACCUGAUAGUACACAAAGCCUUCGGGCGGCGUGAUAGUGACGCUAAUCCUGCUCGCGAGAAAAACCUCUAAGGCUAGGUUAAAGUGGCUCGUACCGUAAACCGACACAGGUAGUCGAGAUGAGUAUUCUAAGGCGCUCGGGUGAGCCGUGGAGAAGGAACUAGGCAAAUUAACGCUGUAACUUCGGGAUAAAGCGUACCGCAGCGAUGCGGUCACAGUAAAAUGGUUCAACCAACUGUUUAGCAAAAACACAGGGCCCUGCAAAAUCGAAAGAUGACGUAUAGAGCCUGAUACCUGCCCGGUGCUGGAAGGUUAAGGAAGCUUGUCAGGGGUUAAACCCGAAGCUUGCGACCGAAGCCCCAGUAAACGGCGGCCGUAACGAUAACGGUCCUAAGGUAGCGAAAUUCCUUGUCGGGUAAGUUCCGACCUGCACGAAUGGUCUAAUGAGUUGAACACUGUCUCCUCCACGAGCCCGGUGAAAUUGUAGUAUCGGUGAAGAUGCCGGUUACCCGCCACGGGACGAAAAGACCCCGUGAACCUUCACUACAACUUUGCAUUGAUUUUGAGUAACAGAUGUGUAGCAUAGUUGGGAGACUAUGAAGCGGGGGCGCCAGCCCUCGUGGAGUCACCGUUGAAAUACCAACCUUCUGUUACUUAGAGUCUAAUCCAGUGAUGGAAACAGUGCAUGGUGUGUAGUUUGACUGGGGUGGUCGCCUCCUAAAAAGUAACGGAGGCUCGCAAAGGUUCCCUCAGUACGGUUGGUAAUCGUACGUAGAGCGCAUUAGUAUAAGGGAGCUUGACUGUGAGGCUGACCAGCCGAGCAGGUGCGAAAGCAGGCUAAAGUGAUCCGGUGGUUCUGUAUGGAAGGGCCAUCGCUCAAAGGAUAAAAGGUACUCCGGGAUAACAGGCUGAUCUCCCCCAAGAGCUCAUAUCGACGGGGAGGUUUGGCACCUCGAUGUCGGUUCGUCACAUCCUGGGGCUGGAGAAGGUCCCAAGGGUUGGGCUGUUCGCCCAUUAAAGUGGCACGUGAACUGGGUUCAGAACGUCGCAAGACAGUUCGGUCUCUAUCUGUGGUGGGCGUUAGUAAAUUGCGUGGACAUGACCUUAGUACGAGAGGACCGGGUCGUAUGUACCGCUGGUGUAUCUGUUGUGCCGCCAGGUGCAGUGCAGAGUAGCUAUGUACAGCCAGGAUAAGCGCUGAAAGCAUCUAAGCGCGAAACCUUCCACAAGAUGAGUUUACUUUUAAGGGUCGUCAGAGACGAUGACGUUGAUAGGCUGCAGGUGUAAAGGUGGUAACAUCAAAGCCGAGCAGUACUAAUUACCCGUAAGCUUUAACC